GUGGAGCUCGAGAUCUUCGCUAUGGUAAACUAGUCGUAAAUGCCAGUCUCCAGCUCCAAUGAUUCCAAAUUUAUGAGCUGAUGUGGCUGUACCACCGACCAUCUUUCAGCGAGAAGCACACCGCGUCUUUUUUCCUCCCGAAUGCUUUUCAGCAGCACUCAAUUUAAAAUUAUAAUGCUGCGGAAAUUUUCGUUAUGAGAUCGGUACAAAUGCCGCGUAGGAAUUUUAUAGCACUUUUAGGUUGAUUAAGCGACUGGGGUUAGUAGCUUCUGUUGUCCCUUUCUUAAUGUUGGCUUGAGACUAAGUGAUGGAGCCCAUGUGAGCACAAGCACUAAAGGAUAUUCGAAAUUAACUCGUGGUCGGUGAAGUAAGAAUGUGACGUAGUCCGAAGUUUUCCUCACUGAAGGAUGAUCCAUGAGAACUUUGCGAAGCUGGUGUUAACGAUUCCAGCACCCACUAGCUCAACAACUAGCUUUGCAAAAAUUUGAAUACCCUGCGAUUGAAGUAAAACAACCUUUGUGUGAAACUUAUCCGGUUGUCAGAAAUUUGCCGCAACAUUUUUGAAGCUUUUACGAUAUAUCGCUCCUACUUCCUUGAAAGGUAAUUGCAGAUGAACUACUACCCCGAUGAACUGGGUUGUGUAAAGGUUCAAGUUUUGCGUAAUCGAGCCAAGUUCUGGUGAUGAUUUUGUUAAAUGCACCAUUUCCAAAAGUUGACCUGCGAAGCCUCCAGUUGACCCAAUCGACACAAGUUUAGACUCUGGAUCGCGGAAUCGCAU
RNAcentral lists this long non-coding RNA (778 nucleotides) under Physcomitrium patens. Its description in RNAcentral is "long non-coding RNA (PPAT_LNC000255)". Lineage: Eukaryota; Viridiplantae; Streptophyta; Bryopsida; Funariales; Funariaceae. The record is from RNAcentral.